RNAcentral lists this ribosomal RNA (364 nucleotides) under Streptomyces anthocyanicus. RNAcentral describes it as "bacterial SSU rRNA". It matches the Rfam family "Bacterial small subunit ribosomal RNA", at positions 100 to 498 of the family's 1533-position model. The record is from RNAcentral. Lineage: Bacteria; Bacillati; Actinomycetota; Actinomycetes; Kitasatosporales; Streptomycetaceae. RNAcentral also lists the same sequence under 1 other name.
GAACGGGUGAGUAACGUGGGCAAUCUGCCCUUCACUCUGGGACAACCCUGGAAACGGGUAAUACCGGAUACUACCCUCGCAGGCUGAGGUUCGAAAGUCCGGCGGUGAAGGAUGAGCCCGCGGCCUAUCAGCUUGUUGGUGAGGUAAUGGCUCACCAGGCGACGACGGGUAGCCGGCCUGAGAGGGCGACCGGCCACACUGGGACUGAGACACGGCCCAGACUCCUACGGGAGGCAGCAGUGGGGAAUAUUGCACAAUGGGCGAAAGCCUGAUGCAGCGACGCCGCGUGAGGGAUGACGGCCUUCGGGUUGUAAACCUCUUUCAGCAGGGAAGAAGGACGGUACCUGCAGAAGAAGCGCCGGCU